RNAcentral lists this ribosomal RNA (253 nucleotides) under uncultured bacterium. RNAcentral describes it as "partial 16S ribosomal RNA". It matches the Rfam family "Bacterial small subunit ribosomal RNA", at positions 524 to 776 of the family's 1533-position model. The record is from RNAcentral.
UACGAGGGACCCAAACGUUAUUCGGAAUUACUGGGCUUACAGAGUUCGUAGGCGGCUCGGAAAGUUGGGUGUGAAAUCCCUCGGCUCAACCGAGGAAUUGCGCUCAAAACUGCCGAGCUAGAGGGGUAUAGAGGAAAGCGGAACUGAUGGUGGAGCGGUGAAAUGCGUUGAUAUCAUCAGGAACACCGGUGGCGAAGGCGGCUUUCUGGGUACCACCUGACGCUGAGGAACGAAAGCUAGGGGAGCGAACGGG